GAUGAACGCUGGCGGCGUGCCUAAUACAUGCAAGUCGAGCGAACAGACGAGGAGCUUGCUCCUCUGACGUUAGCGGCGGACGGGUGAGUAACACGUGGAUAACCUACCUAUAAGACUUGGAUAACUUCGGGAAACCGGAGCUAAUACCGGAUAAUAUAUUGAACCGCAUGGUUCAAUAGUGAAAGACGGUUUUGCUGUCACUUAUAGAUGGAUCCGCGCCGCAUUAGCUAGUUGGUAAGGUAACGGCUUACCAAGGCGACGAUGCGUAGCCGACCUGAGAGGGUGAUCGGCCACACUGGAACUGAGACACGGUCCAGACUCCUACGGGAGGCAGCAGUAGGGAAUCUUCCGCAAUGGGCGAAAGCCUGACGGAGCAACGCCGCGUGAGUGAUGAAGGUCUUCGGAUCGUAAAACUCUGUUAUUAGGGAAGAACAAAUGUGUAAGCAACUAUGCACGUCUUGACGGUACCUAAUCAGAAAGCCACGGCUAACUACGUG
Molecule: ribosomal RNA, 497 nt
Filed under: uncultured bacterium
Lineage: Bacteria
Description: partial 16S ribosomal RNA
Rfam family: Bacterial small subunit ribosomal RNA
Source: RNAcentral